RNAcentral lists this ribosomal RNA (301 nucleotides) under uncultured bacterium. RNAcentral's name for it is "partial 16S ribosomal RNA". It matches the Rfam family "Bacterial small subunit ribosomal RNA", at positions 509 to 807 of the family's 1533-position model. The record is from RNAcentral.
CAGCAGCCACGGUAAUACGAAGGGGGCUAGCGUUGUUCGGAUUUAUUGGGCGUAAAGGGUGCGUAGGCGGCCCCGCAAGUCUCAUGUGAAAUCUUCAGGCUCAACUUGAAGUCUGCAUGGGAAACUGCGGGGCUGGAGUAUGGGAGAGGUGAGUGGAAUUCCUGGUGUAGCGGUGAAAUGCGUAGAUAUCAGGAGGAACACCUGUGGCGAAAGCGGCUCACUGGACCAUAACUGACGCUGAGGCACGAAAGCUAGGGGAGCAAACAGGAUUAGAUACCCGCGUAGUCCCUGUCUCUUAUAC